GAACUUGGAGUUUGAUAGGAAUUUUUUGUUUACAACAAAAGGGUUAGGAGUUCU
RNAcentral lists this transfer RNA (54 nucleotides) under Oxyuris equi. Its description in RNAcentral is "tRNA-Val". Lineage: Eukaryota; Metazoa; Nematoda; Chromadorea; Rhabditida; Oxyuridae. The record is from RNAcentral.